UCUUGGUCAUUUAGAGGAAGUAAAAGUCGUAACAAGGUCUCCGUAGGUGAACCUGCGGAGGGAUCAUUACACAAAUAUGAAGGCGGGCUGGAACCUCUCGGGGUUACAGCCUUGCUGAAUUAUUCACCCUUGUCUUUUGCGUACUUCUUGUUUCCUUGGUGGGUUCGCCCACCACUAGGACAAACAUAAACCUUUUGUAAUUGCAAUCAGCGUCAGUAACAAAUUAAUAAUUACAACUUUCAACAACGGAUCUCUUGGUUCUGGCAUCGAUGAAGAACGCAGCGAAAUGCGAUAAGUAGUGUGAAUUGCAGAAUUCAGUGAAUCAUCGAAUCUUUGAACGCACAUUGCGCCCUUUGGUAUUCCAAAGGGCAUGCCUGUUCGAGCGUCAUUUGUACCCUCAAGCUUUGCUUGGUGUUGGGCGUCUUGUCUCUAGCUUUGCUGGAGACUCGCCUUAAAGUAAUUGGCAGCCGGCCUACUGGUUUCGGAGCGCAGCACAAGUCGCACUCUCUAUCAGCAAAGGUCUAGCAUCCAUUAAGCCUUUUUUUUCAACUUUUGACCUCGGAUCAGGUA
RNAcentral lists this ribosomal RNA (570 nucleotides) under Alternaria sp. JJP-2009a. Its description in RNAcentral is "eukaryotic LSU rRNA". The stretch from base 235 to 388 matches the Rfam family "5.8S ribosomal RNA". Lineage: Eukaryota; Fungi; Ascomycota; Dothideomycetes; Pleosporales; Pleosporaceae. The record is from RNAcentral.